This is an RNA transcript of Orcinus orca (killer whale), 3708 nucleotides long. It is a transcript of the gene named RAD52 motif-containing protein 1-like, with no coding region annotated. The record is from RefSeq and is a predicted model, not a curated record. NCBI's taxonomy places the organism in Eukaryota, Metazoa, Chordata, Mammalia, Artiodactyla, Delphinidae. The transcript has a single exon.
AUUAGAUGCAUUAAAUUUUGCAGUCUGUGAAACACUAUACCAAUGAAAAGAAUCACUCUUAUUAAAAUGGAAUAUAUGCUUUCAUUUAACUCUCAGUUGCCAUUUAACUACACCUGGCAAUGAUGUUUGAAGGGAUCUCAGGGGCCUUACUAUUAGUGGAAAACUCAACCAUCAUGCAUCCCAUAAAAUUUUCCUUCCUUAUAAUGCUCAAUUGUUAAAAAAAAAAAAUUUAAAGUAGGUUCUAAUGAAGCAUAUUAAGUAUAGCUUAUUUGUCAAACUCUUAACCUCUGUCUUGACCAUAAAAUAUGAAUUAUUGUGGUAUAUGGCUCUAUUCAGGGUAUGAUAAAUGCUGUAUGUACUUCAGGAGGAAACUAUAAGGUAUGUUUCUGGCUUGCCUUGAGGAAGAAAUAAAUGGCCUAUGCAGUCACUUCCAUCUCUGGUUUCAAUGAUUAAUGCAUCCUAGAGGAACAACUUCCUUUAGGCUGCAAUGCCAGUUGCUAUCCUUAUUUCAUCCCUUGAGUUUUACAGGGAAUGUGAACUGAAAAAUAUUUAGCUUUUAUUUUAGAUAACUUUUUUCUUUGACUCCUGCUUGUGUCUUUUACAUUUUUUUUUUUCCAUUCUGGAGUUAGUUUUUCUUGUGCGUAUCUAGGUUGUUAUCUAGGAGGACAUGGGAGGUGAUAGAGAUAAUGCCGGGCUGUGCCUAAGGUUUGGAGGUAGAGCGGAUGCUCAGGAGGCUGCGAGAGACCUCAGCAGCUCAAGUGCCAAAAGGUUCCGUGUGUCUUACCUUGUUACUCACUCAUGGCCUCUAUGAGGCUUGGGACCAAUCAGGAUUCCAUGUUAGUGCCAGGUCUUCACUUGCUAUGUCGUUAGGUGCAGUAGAUAAGCAUUUUGUGAAACCAUUUGAGUGUAUUUUGCAUUCUUUCAUGAGAUGGUUAGUCAGGUGUGGCCACAAGAGGGGACAAGGUUCAGGAAAACAAAGUUUAUUAUAUCCACAGCUUCUAAAGAGAGGCACUGCAUGCCAUGAGGGAGUCAUGUAGUGGGAACAUCAAUGGGGCCAGCUCAACCAAGCAGCUGGGGGGGCCGAGAAAGAAAGAGGACCCAUGGGCAAGUGCCUUUAUUGGGGGUCAAGGUGGAGUACAUAAGCAAAAGGCACAAGAAGAUUUUCUGGGUGUGUUUGAAGGUCACUAAAUCACAGUCGGGGCAGGGAGGAAAGGGUACUUGUGGCAAGGGCCAGCCUUAUGCCACCUGUGCAGAAGCUCAGGGCCUCUAUUUAUUCACUGCAAUGGGAAUAAUCCAUUGUCUUAUUUUUUUUAAAUCAUGAUUUCAUGUAACAAACAUUGAAUGUCUGCAAUAUAUGUCAUCAGAAGAAAAGCAAAAGGCAAAAAAAAAAAAAAAAAGAAUUAGAUACAGCAUCCACAGUUAAAUUGCUUACGAUUUGAUUUUAUCAAAAUGCCUUACCGUAGAUUCAUCAACAUUCAUACUUCAAAUGACUAAUGGGCAUCAGUCAUUUAAAAUAACCUUAAAAAGCAUGCUGAUUUUAAUAACUAUAUGAAGAUAGCAAUACUAUGCAAAUGCAUAGGAUGCAUAGGUAUGGGAGAUUGAGGUAUUGAGACUGAGGGAAAAGGAUUGAUAUUAAAAAUCCAUUUGCUAAAAUCUCAGAUCACGGUAUCUUAUUAUUUUCUGAAGAUUUUAUCCAGAGCAGUGAGUUUUCCUCAGAGUCCAUAUUUUUGUUGAGGCUUGGGGAUCUAUGAAAUCCAUAAUAUUGUAUGCACGACUGUGUGCACAUCAGCAUCCUUCUGGGGAGAAAUCUAAAGUUUACGCUAAUUUCUAAAAGUAAUAAUCCAGUAAUAUUAAAAAUCACUAAUGCAUAUUUGACUUAUAAUUUACUUCUCCUUUUAGGGAAGACAGUGUGUUUGGUGGAAAGAUCCUAGAAUUAAGAUGGAAAGGCAUAGGCACGUGCAGUGACAAUAGGAUGGUGGAGUUGGUACCUUUUGCGGUUCCCAUCACGGGUGACAAAACCUUGCUGGUGUGGGAGCUGAGCUCUGGACCCACGGCCGAGGCCUUGCAGUCUUCUCCCAGUUUGGCCUUCUGUAUUCGGUCCGAGUCUUCCCAAAUGCAGCAGUGGCCGGUCCUGGGUUCUAUGCGACCAUCAAGUUUUAUUCAGCAAGGGAUGCCCACAGAGCCCAAAAGGCAUGCGACCAGAAGCAGCUUUUUCAGACAUCUCCAGUGAAGGUUCGUCUCGGCACCAGACAUAAGGCGGUUCAACAUAAUACGCCUGCCCUAAACAGCUCCAGAUACCAAGAAUUGGCAAAUUACUACUUUGGUUUCAAUGGGUGGUCAAAAAGGAUCAUCAAGCUUCAGGAUCUUUCUAACCUUGAAGAAAGGGAAAAGGAAGAUAUUGUGACACCACUUCAGAAGCAAAGCCUGACGUUCUUUUGUGCUUCAGAGGCGGUAUUGCCCUCCCACGAGUGCAGGAGUCCCGAAGUUGGCAUGGCUGAGGAACCUUUGGAUAACUUGGAGGAAGGGUCGUUAUCAUUCCUUAUGAAAAGGAAGGUAACCCAGAAGGUUGCUAUUCAGAAGGCUAUGAGAGAUGCAUUCCAGAAACAGCUGAUUGUGGUUUUAGAAAGUGGUAAAACAGCUGUGGCAUGUAGACCGUGUGAAGAGGUCACAGAUGCUAGAACUGAAGAGGAACUGCAGGAUUUAAUUCAAGUAUGUGGAGAUAAAAGCUCAAGGGGUACACAGCCAGUGUAGCCACAAUUCAAAACAACCAGCAGGAUUUGGAAGACUUUGGCAUGUCUACUCAGCUCUGUCAUCCUUAGGAAAAGGUGAAACUCUGAAACUGCUUUUGAGGCAGGGAAUUUCUAGGACUUUUCCAAGUCCCGAGCCUUGUCUCUGGCCCCUUAUUUGAAGUUUGGAGAGCAGGAUCGAGGGCCAUCAGUGUACGUCUACAGUUGUGGAUACAGGAGAAGACACAGGACUUUUAGAACUCCCCUCAGUUAGAAUUGCAGGGAUUUGGGAAGAAAGUAACUAUGGCCUUAAGUGUGAUUAUGCUACAGUGUUUAAAAACUAUUCAUGCCUUUCAAGUAAGGUAUAUUACCCAGAUCUCAGCAUCUCAUAUAUAUCUUGUGUUAAAUAUUUUGCCGAAGAACCUUUCUGUAAACCAAUUAUAUGGAUGCCUCAAAUUAGGGAUUAAGUUGUCAACGUAAUUUCUAAAAGAAAACAUUAAUGUACUGCAUAUAGGAUUUUUAUUAAAAAGGAGCAAAAAGUGUGUUUCAUGUCAUUGAGAGCUUAAUUUGGGGCUAGAUUUCUGAUUAUUUAACUCACCCCAAUGUUGCAAAGUUUGUUUUGAAGGGAAGAAAGUAGAGAAAGAAAAGGUGGUUAUGUUCUGAAAAAUGUAAAAAUUUUGAAAGUUUUUCCUGUACAAUAUAAUUAUUUUAAUUCAAUUUAAAUCAGUCAAGGGAACUUCAGACGUAUCCAUGUUUGGGCUUUAAGAAGUCUAGCUUCCUGUGAAACGUGAGAGGAAAGGAUUCCAUAUUGAUACUAAAGAUUUCGGAAGCCUGAUUAUAACAACAGAUCCAUUCCUAAAUGAGGCCAAUCUUGGAAUCAGUUCCAUUUAGAAACCAUUAUGUGCUAGGCACUGGAAAUAAGAUGAAGCUCCUUCUGUCUUGGAGUUUAGGUGUUAAAGGUGUACCAGACAAUUAAAAAGGA